AAUUUUAGAAAUAUAAAAUAAAUUAAGCUUCUAACUUAAUAUAAGUGGUUAAACUCCAUUAAUAUUUC
This 68-nucleotide transfer RNA is filed under the name Psilochorema bidens. Its description in RNAcentral is "tRNA-Ser". Lineage: Eukaryota; Metazoa; Arthropoda; Insecta; Trichoptera; Hydrobiosidae. The record is from RNAcentral.